Cottoperca gobio is the source of this 1283-nucleotide long non-coding RNA. Lineage: Eukaryota; Metazoa; Chordata; Actinopteri; Perciformes; Bovichtidae. The record is from Ensembl.
UGGAGAGCUUUGCUCAUAAUCUUAUUAACAGUAAACUAAAGUAAAACAUUGUACACAAAGAAACACUGAACCACAUUAAGUGUUUUACAACAAACAGCAGGAACAUUUUUAACAAAGUUACUGAACAUUUAAUUUUUACUUAUUAUAUAAGUGUAUUUAUUGUAUAUACAUAUUUGUCUAGUUUCAUGACAUAUUUUAAUUACACUCAUAAUAUGUUGGAAAAAUGGGGGGUACAGGGACGGGUGGGGGUUAGGCUUCUAAAUAGAACAGCGGGGCGGCCACCUCAGAGCAAGGCACUUCACAACGAGUGGAAAGUAGUAAAUGUAAAUAUGAGUAUUUGUUAGUUUUGUCAGGCAGCAUCAGGUUAUUGGUUCUCUUCCCUCAGAGGAGCCAGGCAGCAGCAGGUUGUUGGUUCUCUUCCCUCAGAGGAGCCAGGCGGCAGCAGGUUGUUGGUUCUCUUCCCUCAGAGGAGCCAGGCAGCAGCAGGUUGUUGGUUCUCUUCCCUCAGAGGAGCCAGGCAGCAGCAGGUUGUUGGUUCUCUUCCCUCAGAGGAGCCAGGCGGCAGCAGGUUGUUGGUUCUCUUCCCUCAGAGGAGCCAGGCGGCAGCAGGUUGUUGGUUCUCUUCCCUCAGAGGAGCCAGGCGGCAUCAGGUUGUUGGUUCUCUUCCCUCAGAGGAGCCAGGCAGCAGCAGGUUGUUGGUUCUCUUCCCUCAGAGGAGCCAGGCGGCAGCAGGUUGUUGGUUCUCUUCCCUCAGAGGAGCCAGGCGGCAGCAGCAGGUUGUUGGUUCUCUUCCCUCAGAGGAGCCAGGCGGCAGCAGCAGGUUGUUGGUUCUCUUCCCUCAGAGGAGCCAGGCACUGAGGAGCGUUGAAAAGCCUCCCUGCACUGCGCGGAGCGGGCGGGGCCUCUGUCGGACCUGUUGUGCGGCUCUCUCUGCGGAUCUCUCUGCGGAUCGUGCAGGUUUCUCUCCGCUGGACUGUCUGCGGGUUUCUGGAAAUCUCUCCGCGCCGGUUGGACCCCGGUGGACCGCAGAGCGGCUCGCCGAGCAGAGGAAACGUCUUCCUGAUGAAGAAGGUUCCUUCUCCUCCUCACACACGCAGCAGGUUGCCUCAACAGGCUCUUUCAGUUCUGGCCGUGUGUUUUCCGGAGGAAUGAAAGAAAGACGGACUGUUUCCUGAACGCAGUAAGUAUCUGUGUGUGUGAUGAGGCUUUGAUUGACAGCUCUCUGGUUAAUUGUGCUGUGAUUGAAUUAGCGAGCAGGAAUCAGAUCUGUGAAUAAGUGUCGC